GACGAACGCUGGCGGCGUGCUUAACACAUGCAAGUCGAACGGAAAGGCCCUGCUUUUGUGGGGUGCUCGAGUGGCGAACGGGUGAGUAACACGUGAGUAACCUGCCCUUGACUUUGGGAUAACUUCAGGAAACUGGGGCUAAUACCGGAUAGGAGCUCCUGCUGCCUGUUGGGGGUUGGAAUGUUUCGGCGGUUGGGGAUGGACUCGCGGCUUAUCAGCUUGUUGGUGGGGUAGUGGCUUACCAAGGCUUUGACGGGUAGCCGGCCUGAGAGGGUGACCGGCCACAUUGGGACUGAGAUACGGCCCAGACUCCUACGGGAGGCAGCAGUGGGGAAUAUUGCACAAUGGGCGGAAGCCUGAUGCAGCAACGCCGCGUGCGGGAUGACGGCCUUCGGGGUGUAAACCGCUUUCGCCUGUGACGAAGCGUGAGUGACGGUAAUGGGUAAAGAAGCACCGGCUAACUACGUG
RNAcentral lists this ribosomal RNA (468 nucleotides) under uncultured bacterium. Its description in RNAcentral is "partial 16S ribosomal RNA". It matches the Rfam family "Bacterial small subunit ribosomal RNA", at positions 28 to 507 of the family's 1533-position model. The record is from RNAcentral.